GGAUUAGGCAUGCAAGUCGAACGAGAAAGUUCCUUUCGGGAACGAGUACAGUGGCGAAAGGGUGAGUAAUGCAUAGGCAACUUGCCCCGGAGAUGGGGAUAACCUCGGGAAACUGGGGCUAAUACCCAAUAUGACUACGAUUCGCAUGGAUUGUAGUUAAAGAUAGCUCUGCUUUCACUCCGGGAGGGGCCUAUGUCCUAUUAGCUUGUUGGUGAGGUAACGGCUCACCAAGGCGACGAUGGGUAGCCGACCUGAGAGGGUGACCGGCCACACUGGGACUGAGACACUGCCCAGACUCCUACGGGAGGCUGCAGUCGAGAAUCUUCCGCAAUGCGCGAAAGCGUGACGGAGCGACGCCGCGUGAGGGAUGAAGGCCUUCGGGUUGUAAACCUCUGUCACCUGGGAAGAAAAUCAAGCGGUUAAUAGCUGUCUUGGUUGACGUUACCAGGAGAGGAAGCACCGGCUAAAUUCGUGCCAGCAGCCGCGGUAAUACGAAUGGUGCAAACGUUGUUCGGAAUCACUGGGCUUAAAGAGCACGUAGGCGGUUGAGAAAGUCCGAUGUGAAAUCCCCCGGCUUAACCGGGGAACUGCAUCGGAAACUUCUCGGCUAGAGUGUAGGAGGGGAGAGUGGAAUUCCUGGUGGAGCGGUGAAAUGCGUAGAUAUCAGGAGGAACGCCGGAGGCGAAAGCGACUCUCUGGCCUGCUACUGACGCUGAGGUGCGAAAGCUAGGGGAGCGAACGGGAUUAGAUACCCCGGUAGUCCUAGCCCUAAACGAUGGGCACUAAGUAGAGGGGUUUU
RNAcentral lists this ribosomal RNA (799 nucleotides) under uncultured Planctomycetota bacterium. RNAcentral describes it as "bacterial SSU rRNA". It matches the Rfam family "Bacterial small subunit ribosomal RNA", at positions 46 to 832 of the family's 1533-position model. Lineage: Bacteria; Pseudomonadati; Planctomycetota. The record is from RNAcentral.